Molecule: ribosomal RNA, 385 nt
Filed under: uncultured bacterium
Lineage: Bacteria
Description: bacterial SSU rRNA
Rfam family: Bacterial small subunit ribosomal RNA
Source: RNAcentral
AUUGAACGCUGGCGGCAUGCCUUACACAUGCAAGUCGAACGGCAGCACGGGGCAACCUGGUGGCGAGUGGCGAACGGGUGAGUAAUGCAUCGGAACGUGCCAUUGAGUGGGGGAUAACGUAGCGAAAGUUGCGCUAAUACCGCAUAUUCUGUGAGCAGGAAAGCAGGGGACCGCAAGGCCUUGCGCUCUUUGAGCGGCCGAUGUCAGAUUAGCUAGUUGGUUGAGGUAACGGCUUACCAAGGCGACGAUCUGUAGCGGGUCUGAGAGGAUGAUCCGCCACACUGGAACUGAGACACGGUCCAGACUCCUACGGGAGGCAGCAGUGGGGAAUUUUGGACAAUGGGCGCAAGCCUGAUCCAGCCAUGCCGCGUGAGUGAAGAAGGCC